This 2901-nucleotide ribosomal RNA is filed under the name Escherichia coli KTE29. RNAcentral's name for it is "bacterial LSU rRNA". It matches the Rfam family "Bacterial large subunit ribosomal RNA". Lineage: Bacteria; Pseudomonadati; Pseudomonadota; Gammaproteobacteria; Enterobacterales; Enterobacteriaceae. The record is from RNAcentral.
UUAAGCGACUAAGCGUACACGGUGGAUGCCCUGGCAGUCAGAGGCGAUGAAGGACGUGCUAAUCUGCGAUAAGCGUCGGUAAGGUGAUAUGAACCGUUAUAACCGGCGAUUUCCGAAUGGGGAAACCCAGUGUGUUUCGACACACUAUCAUUAACUGAAUCCAUAGGUUAAUGAGGCGAACCGGGGGAACUGAAACAUCUAAGUACCCCGAGGAAAAGAAAUCAACCGAGAUUCCCCCAGUAGCGGCGAGCGAACGGGGAGCAGCCCAGAGCCUGAAUCAGUGUGUGUGUUAGUGGAAGCGUCUGGAAAGGCGCGCGAUACAGGGUGACAGCCCCGUACACAAAAAUGCACAUGCUGUGAGCUCGAUGAGUAGGGCGGGACACGUGGUAUCCUGUCUGAAUAUGGGGGGACCAUCCUCCAAGGCUAAAUACUCCUGACUGACCGAUAGUGAACCAGUACCGUGAGGGAAAGGCGAAAAGAACCCCGGCGAGGGGAGUGAAAAAGAACCUGAAACCGUGUACGUACAAGCAGUGGGAGCACGCUUAGGCGUGUGACUGCGUACCUUUUGUAUAAUGGGUCAGCGACUUAUAUUCUGUAGCAAGGUUAACCGAAUAGGGGAGCCGAAGGGAAACCGAGUCUUAACUGGGCGUUAAGUUGCAGGGUAUAGACCCGAAACCCGGUGAUCUAGCCAUGGGCAGGUUGAAGGUUGGGUAACACUAACUGGAGGACCGAACCGACUAAUGUUGAAAAAUUAGCGGAUGACUUGUGGCUGGGGGUGAAAGGCCAAUCAAACCGGGAGAUAGCUGGUUCUCCCCGAAAGCUAUUUAGGUAGCGCCUCGUGAAUUCAUCUCCGGGGGUAGAGCACUGUUUCGGCAAGGGGGUCAUCCCGACUUACCAACCCGAUGCAAACUGCGAAUACCGGAGAAUGUUAUCACGGGAGACACACGGCGGGUGCUAACGUCCGUCGUGAAGAGGGAAACAACCCAGACCGCCAGCUAAGGUCCCAAAGUCAUGGUUAAGUGGGAAACGAUGUGGGAAGGCCCAGACAGCCAGGAUGUUGGCUUAGAAGCAGCCAUCAUUUAAAGAAAGCGUAAUAGCUCACUGGUCGAGUCGGCCUGCGCGGAAGAUGUAACGGGGCUAAACCAUGCACCGAAGCUGCGGCAGCGACACUAUGUGUUGUUGGGUAGGGGAGCGUUCUGUAAGCCUGCGAAGGUGUGCUGUGAGGCAUGCUGGAGGUAUCAGAAGUGCGAAUGCUGACAUAAGUAACGAUAAAGCGGGUGAAAAGCCCGCUCGCCGGAAGACCAAGGGUUCCUGUCCAACGUUAAUCGGGGCAGGGUGAGUCGACCCCUAAGGCGAGGCCGAAAGGCGUAGUCGAUGGGAAACAGGUUAAUAUUCCUGUACUUGGUGUUACUGCGAAGGGGGGACGGAGAAGGCUAUGUUGGCCGGGCGACGGUUGUCCCGGUUUAAGCGUGUAGGCUGGUUUUCCAGGCAAAUCCGGAAAAUCAAGGCUGAGGCGUGAUGACGAGGCACUACGGUGCUGAAGCAACAAAUGCCCUGCUUCCAGGAAAAGCCUCUAAGCAUCAGGUAACAUCAAAUCGUACCCCAAACCGACACAGGUGGUCAGGUAGAGAAUACCAAGGCGCUUGAGAGAACUCGGGUGAAGGAACUAGGCAAAAUGGUGCCGUAACUUCGGGAGAAGGCACGCUGAUAUGUAGGUGAAGCGACUUGCUCGUGGAGCUGAAAUCAGUCGAAGAUACCAGCUGGCUGCAACUGUUUAUUAAAAACACAGCACUGUGCAAACACGAAAGUGGACGUAUACGGUGUGACGCCUGCCCGGUGCCGGAAGGUUAAUUGAUGGGGUUAGCGCAAGCGAAGCUCUUGAUCGAAGCCCCGGUAAACGGCGGCCGUAACUAUAACGGUCCUAAGGUAGCGAAAUUCCUUGUCGGGUAAGUUCCGACCUGCACGAAUGGCGUAAUGAUGGCCAGGCUGUCUCCACCCGAGACUCAGUGAAAUUGAACUCGCUGUGAAGAUGCAGUGUACCCGCGGCAAGACGGAAAGACCCCGUGAACCUUUACUAUAGCUUGACACUGAACAUUGAGCCUUGAUGUGUAGGAUAGGUGGGAGGCUUUGAAGUGUGGACGCCAGUCUGCAUGGAGCCGACCUUGAAAUACCACCCUUUAAUGUUUGAUGUUCUAACGUGGACCCGUAAUCCGGGUUGCGGACAGUGUCUGGUGGGUAGUUUGACUGGGGCGGUCUCCUCCUAAAGAGUAACGGAGGAGCACGAAGGUUGGCUAAUCCUGGUCGGACAUCAGGAGGUUAGUGCAAUGGCAUAAGCCAGCUUGACUGCGAGCGUGACGGCGCGAGCAGGUGCGAAAGCAGGUCAUAGUGAUCCGGUGGUUCUGAAUGGAAGGGCCAUCGCUCAACGGAUAAAAGGUACUCCGGGGAUAACAGGCUGAUACCGCCCAAGAGUUCAUAUCGACGGCGGUGUUUGGCACCUCGAUGUCGGCUCAUCACAUCCUGGGGCUGAAGUAGGUCCCAAGGGUAUGGCUGUUCGCCAUUUAAAGUGGUACGCGAGCUGGGUUUAGAACGUCGUGAGACAGUUCGGUCCCUAUCUGCCGUGGGCGCUGGAGAAUUGAGGGGGGCUGCUCCUAGUACGAGAGGACCGGAGUGGACGCAUCACUGGUGUUCGGGUUGUCAUGCCAAUGGCACUGCCCGGUAGCUAAAUGCGGAAGAGAUAAGUGCUGAAAGCAUCUAAGCACGAAACUUGCCCCGAGAUGAGUUCUCCCUGACUCCUUGAGAGUCCUGAAGGAACGUUGAAGACGACGACGUUGAUAGGCCGGGUGUGUAAGCGCAGCGAUGCGUUGAGCUAACCGGUACUAAUGAACCGUGAGGCUUAACCUU